AUGCCAUGAUGUGGACACUUAACCAGUAUCCCUUUGAACCUUUCCUAUGUUUCUUGUAGUGUUUCAGCUGGUUUCUGCCUAAAGCUUAAUAUCUCAUCAACUUUCUU
This is a non-coding RNA of Nicotiana attenuata, 107 nucleotides long. Lineage: Eukaryota; Viridiplantae; Streptophyta; Magnoliopsida; Solanales; Solanaceae. The record is from Rfam.